UAGGGAAUCUUCCACAAUGGCGCAAGCCUGAUGGAGCAACACCGCGUGAGUGAAGAAGGGUUUCGGCUCGUAAAGCUCUGUUGUUGGAGAAGAACGUGCGUGAGAGUAACUGUUCACGCAGUGACGGUAUCCAACCAGAAAGUCACGGCUAACUACGUGCC
This 161-nucleotide ribosomal RNA is filed under the name uncultured bacterium. Its description in RNAcentral is "partial 16S ribosomal RNA". It matches the Rfam family "Bacterial small subunit ribosomal RNA", at positions 355 to 509 of the family's 1533-position model. The record is from RNAcentral.